This 119-nucleotide ribosomal RNA is filed under the name Betta splendens (Siamese fighting fish). The record is from RNAcentral. Lineage: Eukaryota; Metazoa; Chordata; Actinopteri; Anabantiformes; Osphronemidae.
GCUUACGGCCAUACCACCCUGAGCACGCCUGAUCUCGUCUGAUCUCGGAAGCUAAGCAGUGUUGGGCCUGGUUAGUACUUGGAUGGGAGACCGCCUGGGAAUACCAGGUGCUGUAAGCU